AUAUGAAAAGGUUUAAUUCGCCCUUUCACGGCGGCAACACGGGUUCGAAUCCCGUACGGGACACCA
RNAcentral lists this transfer RNA (66 nucleotides) under Gluconobacter oxydans H24. Its description in RNAcentral is "tRNA-Und (NNN) (tRNA-Und-NNN-2-1)". The record is from RNAcentral. Lineage: Bacteria; Pseudomonadati; Pseudomonadota; Alphaproteobacteria; Acetobacterales; Acetobacteraceae. RNAcentral also lists the same sequence under 1 other name.